RNAcentral lists this long non-coding RNA (1456 nucleotides) under Manacus vitellinus (golden-collared manakin). Its description in RNAcentral is "lncRNA (ENSMVIG00005015331.1)". Lineage: Eukaryota; Metazoa; Chordata; Aves; Passeriformes; Pipridae. The record is from RNAcentral.
UCAGGGGAGACCCCCCUNNNNNNNNNNNNNNNNNNNNNCUCUGGCAGUUUGAAGCCAUUCCCCCUUGUCCUGUCCCUCCAUCCCUUGUCCCCAGUCCCUCUCCAGCUCUCCUGGAGCCCCUUUAGGCCCUGGAAGGGGCUCUCAGGUCUCCCUGGAGCCUCCUCUUCUCCAGGUGAACACUCCCAGCCUGGCUCCAGGGCAGAGGGGCUCCAGCCCUGGGAUCUUCUUCCCGGCCCUAAUGCUGCCCUGGGAGCCAGGAUGGAACAGCUGAGGUGCCACUGGCAUUUCUGCUUGGGAUUUGACUUUAAUCCAGGCACUGUGACUGAUCCAUCCCAUCUGCUCCCUUCUUAUUUUCCACAGUUUGGAGCACGUGAGGAGCUGCCAGAGGAAUCACUGAUGUUUUCAUUUCAGCUUUGUCAGAUGAUCCCUCCCCGCUGUGUGACUUCAGGAGCGUGACGCGUGUGCCGGAGUCGGUGUCACCCCGCGGCCGAGAUGGUGGCAUUCAACUGGAAGGUGAGGCUGCUCCACAUUCCUAAAGCUGCUGUGUCUGUAAAAAUCUGUGAAAUCUCUGCUUUUGCUUUGAUUCAGAACAAAAAUUUCUCUACUCUUCCAAUAGAAAAUAAUUACGGAGAGAAAGUCACCUUUCCCCGUGUCCUUUUCCAGGAGAUUCACUGGGGAGUUCCAAAUUCCACUGGAUAAUAAGGUGAUAAUCUCCAAAAGAGAGCAGCCUCCAGCCUGCUGGACGUGACAGAAGUGCCUUGCACUGCACACUUUGUGUGUAUAUUCAGGGAAAAGCUCAAUCUAAUCUCACCUGGAAAGUCAAAUAUUGGCCGAGAGCUCCCGUCAGUCAUCCCGUGGGAUGCUGGGAACGACUCUUUGUGCCAGUUGUUGGGAAUUCCUGUGUUUUAAAAGCAUUUCUGUGCUUUCCUGGGGGUGGAUGGAGAUGCAGCUCCGUGUCUGGUGACCCAGAGGGGAGAAGGGGGAAGAUGAGCUCUGUGAAAUAAUAAGAGGAAUGAUUAAGAAUUAGAAUUCUUAAUUCCUGUGAGGAAGCACAGGGAACUCCUAAAGCAGGGAAUUCCUGAAGCAGGGAAUUGCUAAAGCAGGGAAUUGCUGCUGUUCCCAGCAGUGGGUGGGUUCUGUGUUGGAAGGGGGUCUCCUUGCCCAGGGCAGGGGUUGUUUUCCCCCCACACUCCCGGGGGUUUGUCGUUGUCCUUCCUUGCUCCGGGUGGUCUCUGUGGCCCCCAGGAUUUGCUGUUGGGACACUUCAGCCCCGGGCACUGCUCUGUCCUCCUGCCUUCCCUCUUCCCAGGCUUUUCCCUCAGCUCCUUCUGUCCCUGCAGGGGGUUUUCCCCACUGUGUGUUUUGGGGUUUUGGGGCCACAAAGACUCUGCAGGGUUGUGUGUGAGGCCCAGCAAUGGUUGAGGGUCCUCGUGCAGUGACCUCUUGGAGGCCACCU